GAUGAAGAACGCAGCGAAAUGCGAUAAGUAAUGUGAAUUGCAGAAUUCAGUGAAUCAUCGAAUCUUUGAACGCAUCUUGCGCUCCUUGGUAUUCCUUGGAGCAUGCCUGUUUGAGUAUCAUGAGCAAAUCUCAAAGUCAAUUCCUUUUGUUGAUUCAAUUGGUUUUGCUUUGGACUUGGAGGCCUUGCAGAUUUCACAGUCUGCUCCUCUUAAAUGCAUUAGCUGGAUCUCAGUAAUUAUGCUUGGUUCCACUCGGCGUGAUAAGUAUCACUCGCUGAGGACACUGUUAAAAAGGUGGCCAGGAAAAUACUGAUUGAACCGCUUCUAACGGUCUAUUAAGUUAGACAAUUACCCUUAAGUUUGAUCUCAAAUCAGGUAGGACUACCCGCUGAACUUAAGCAUAUCAUAGCGGAGGA
RNAcentral lists this unclassified non-coding RNA (416 nucleotides) under soil metagenome. RNAcentral describes it as "partial contains 5.8S ribosomal RNA, internal transcribed spacer 2, and large subunit ribosomal RNA". The stretch from base 1 to 120 matches the Rfam family "5.8S ribosomal RNA", at positions 35 to 154 of the family's 154-position model. The record is from RNAcentral.